Hippoglossus stenolepis (Pacific halibut) is the source of this 1185-nucleotide long non-coding RNA. RefSeq lists it as uncharacterized. NCBI's taxonomy places the organism in Eukaryota, Metazoa, Chordata, Actinopteri, Pleuronectiformes, Pleuronectidae. The record is from RefSeq and is a predicted model, not a curated record. The transcript has 3 exons.
UACACACGUACCCUCCUCUCAUUAGGUGGCAGUAUUUGUACUUUCUGUUACUCUGAACUGUAGCGAGAGUUGAUAUGACAGUUAUAAAGUUGAGAGAAGAGGGAGUUGACUGAUACAGGAGGUGUAACUGCUGAUGGACUGAAGAAAACACAAUGAUCCACUGCAACAAGGUUUAACCAAACAGCCAGAGAACACAAAAUGAUUGUCCUAUAUUAUUUUAUCUUCAGCGUGACUUUAAACAAUAUUUUGGUUUCAGGUUCCUCUCUCAGUCACAAAGUCCAGCAGAGUCCAGCUAACAUUUACAAGAAACCAGCAGAAACAGCCAAAAUCAGCUGUUCACACAGUAUUGACAGCUACAAUCGAAUCUUCUGGUACAAGCAGAUAAAUAACACACAGCUUCAGCUCCUAGGAUACAUGGUAGGUAACUCUGGAGUUUCAGAGCCUGGAUCUGGUGUGAAAAUGGACGGGAGCGCGAAUAAAGAUCAGACAAGCACAUUAACAAUUGAAGGACUGAACCUGAACAGCAGUGCAGUGUAUUUCUGUGCUGCUAGUUUACACAGUGAAACACAUCAUCUGCUCCUCAGUACAAAAACCUGCACAUGAAGUUCUUUCAUCAGCUGCCAGCCCCUUACACACGUACCCUCCUCUCAUUAGGGGGCAGUAUUUGUUCUUUCUAUUACUCUGAACUGUAGCGAGAGUUGAUAUGACAGUUAUAAAGUUGAGAGAAGAGGGAGUUGACUCAUACAGGAGGUGUAACUGCUGAUGGACUGAAGAAAACACAAUGAUCCACUGCAACAAGGUUUAACCAAACAGCCAGAGAACACAAAAUGAUUGUCCUAUUUUAUUUCAUCUUCAGCGUGACUUUAAACAAUAUUUUGGUUUCAGGUUCCUCUCUCAGUCACAAAGUCCAGCAGAGUCCAGCUAACAUUUACAAGAAACCAGCAGAAACAGCCAAAAUCAGCUGUUCACACAGUAUUGACAACUAUGAUCAAAUCUUCUGGUACAAGCAGAUAAAUAACAGACAGCUUCAGCUCCUGGGAUACAUGUUUGGAAACAAGGAAUACCCAGAGACUGGAUCUGGUGUGAAAAUGGACGGGAGCGCGAAUAAAGAUAAGACGAGCACAUUAACAAUUGAAGGACUGAACCUGAACAGCAGUGCAGUGUAUUUCUGUGCUGCUAGUUUAC